CUUAACCGGGGGCGUGCAGGCGAUACGGGCAGACUUGAGUACUACAGGGGAGACUGGAAUUCCUGGUGUAGCGGUGAAAUGCGCAGAUAUCAGGAGGAACACCGGUGGCGAAGGCGGGUCUCUGGGCAGUAACUGACGCUGAGGAGCGAAAGCGUGGGGAGCGAACAGGCUUAGAUACCCUGGUAGUCCACGCCGUAAACGAUGAGGGCUAGUUGUCGGGCGGCAUGCCGUUCGGUGACGCAGCUAACGCAUUAAGCCCUCCGCCUGGGGAGUACGGUCGCAAGGCUGAAACUCAAAGAAAUUGACGGGGGCCCGCACAAGCGGUGGAGUAUGUGGUUUAAUUCGAAGCAACGCGCAGAACCUUACCAGCCCUUGACAUUUGGUGCACACUCCAGAGAUGGGGUUUUCCCUUCGGGGACGCCAGGACAGGUGCUGCAUGGCUGUCGUCAGCUCGUGCCGUGAGGUGUCGGCUUAAGUGCCAUAACGAGCGCAACCCCUCCCUCCAGUUGCCAUCGGGUAAAGCCGGGGACUCUGGAGGCACUGCCAUCGCAAGAUGUGAGGAAGGCGGGGAUGACGUCAAAUCAGCACGGCCCUUACGUCCGGGGCUACACACGUGUUACAAUGGGGGGUACAGAGGGCCGCCAUCCGGCGACGGAGCGCCAAUCCCCAAAUCCCCUCCCAGUUCGGACUGGAGCCUGCAACCCGGCUCCACGAAGCUGGAUUCGCUAGUAAUCGCGCAUCAGCCAUGGCGCGGUGAAUACGUUCCCGGGCCUUGUACACACCGCCCGUCAAGCCAUGAAAGCCGGGGGUACCUGAAGUGCGUA
This 824-nucleotide ribosomal RNA is filed under the name Cyclophora tenuis. RNAcentral describes it as "partial Bacterial small subunit ribosomal RNA". It matches the Rfam family "Bacterial small subunit ribosomal RNA", at positions 608 to 1432 of the family's 1533-position model. Lineage: Eukaryota; Bacillariophyta; Fragilariophyceae; Cyclophorales; Cyclophoraceae. The record is from RNAcentral.